Molecule: long non-coding RNA, 1464 nt
Organism: Eubalaena glacialis (North Atlantic right whale)
Lineage: Eukaryota; Metazoa; Chordata; Mammalia; Artiodactyla; Balaenidae
Exons: 5
Source: RefSeq, a predicted model, not a curated record
AACAUGAGGCUGGGAGACGAGUUUUGAUUUAAGUGGCCUUGUCCUUCGCUACUGUUAGUGUUGGCGGAGGAUUUACAGUCGGGAUAUUGCACCACGCUCGCCUCUUGCUGAGCCCCAUAAAGGGACUGUCUGGGGAGCGCCUCGUAGCCAUAGAAUUUGGAGGCGUCUCCGUGGCAGCUCAGCGAGCACGGGUUCUGCUGGUAGCCCGAGUUGGAGAUGCCCGAGGUGCCGUGGUGGAAGAAGUCUUGGACGUGGUGCGAGGCGUGCUGGAAGCCGGGCGCCGAGCCGCCGGGCCCGUACACCAGCGCAUGGCUCCGGCCCACGCUCUGCGGGAAGCGGCAGUCGUAAUAGGCCGGCUCCAGGGACUCGCCGCCUUUGUACUUGGAGAACAGGGGGUUGACGAAAGAGAGACAGAGAGAGAUACCUGAGCCAGCAGGUCAACUCAGGUUACCUCAACAGCCUGGAAAUAAAGGAACCGCAAGCAGCCAUCCUUGCUGGGGCGUCUCUGUCCCUCGCCCCGAGGCCUGCACCGCCCUACUAGGUGAGAGGAUUGAUUUGCUCAGAGCCAGAGGGGCCGGGCUGGGCCGGGGCGCCGGGCCUUCUCGUCGCUGCUCCUCGGGGCCGGGCCUCAAACGUCAGUGCGGCCAGGCCGGCCGGGGGCACCGCCGCCGCCUCUAACAUUGAGCAACAGCGCCACCUCGCGUCCACUUGCUCCAAUGCAGUCCGGCCGGGAAAAAGCCAACAGCUAGAGCAAGCAGAGACACUGUGCAAUGGAACUGCCGCGAUUUCCCCCGCGUUCAGGCUCAUUUCUGGCCUCGGAACACCUCCGCGCACGCAGAUGUACGCCCCGAAGCUCCCGCGACCGCCUGCCCGCGGCGCGCACCCUAAACUCCUCGUUCCUCUUACCCUGCCGCUGGCUCCGCACCGCCUAUUCCGCUGCCGCCUGCAGGACUUUGGGGUGGGAUUCUGACUUCUCCCGGCUCUUUGCCCCCUGGUUUGUAGCCCAUCCCUGUCUCUCACGCGCGCGCUCUCUCCACCUCUCCCUCCCAGCCAGUGAGGUCCUGUUCUCCGUGGACCAUAGACAAAACAUUCCUAUAAUCCGAUUUCAAAGGAAAGAGUGUCCACCUUAUUUAAACCAUAAAACAAGCCCAGACGUCUAGCCAGCUCCGCGCUGCUGUUUUGUUCGGCCCCAUUCAGAAUCCAGCGCAGGGAGACAAACAGCGCCAUAAAAGAGGCAUUUCGGGGCCGCGGAAAUGUACCUAUCCUCUGCCUUCCCAAGUGGAACAACCUUUAGGGUUUUGUGAUUCUGACAAAGGAGCAGAGGAGAGGUGGGAGGAGAAGAUUAGGGCAGGGGGGCGUUUGCAAGCCCCUCUUUCCUCCCCAGCUUUCGUUUCUUUCCCCAGAUGUGUGUUGUGUUGUUGUGGUUUGAGUUCACAAAUGACAAUAAAUAAAAAUAGAAUCCAA